UCCCGUAAGGGGGACCUGCGGAAGGAUCAUUAAAAAAUAUUAUACAUCUCUUCUAGGAUUAAACACUAAAUGUUAUAUUUCAACAAGUUUAAAAUAAAAAACUUUCAACAACGGAUCUCUUGGUUCUCGCAUCGAUGAAGAACGCAGCGAAUUGCGAUACGUAAUAUGACUUGCAGACGUGAAUCAUUGAAUUUUUGAACGCACAUUGCGCCUUAAGGUAUUCCUCAAGGCAUGCGUGAAUGAGCGAUA
RNAcentral lists this unclassified non-coding RNA (249 nucleotides) under Metschnikowia sp. JSKim-2014. RNAcentral's name for it is "partial contains 18S rRNA, ITS1, 5.8S rRNA, and ITS2". The stretch from base 100 to 249 matches the Rfam family "5.8S ribosomal RNA". Rfam says of the family: 5.8S ribosomal RNA (5.8S rRNA) is a component of the large subunit of the eukaryotic ribosome. The record is from RNAcentral. Lineage: Eukaryota; Fungi; Ascomycota; Pichiomycetes; Serinales; Metschnikowiaceae.